GUGUCAGCCGCCGCGCGGUAGUACGAAGGGACCUAGCGUAGUUCGGAAUUACUGGGCUUAAAGAGUUCGUAGGUGGUUAAAAAAGUUGGUGGUGAAAUCCCAGAGCUUAACUCUGGAACUGCCAUCAAAACUUUUUAGCUAGAGUAUGAUAGAGGAAAGCAGAAUUUCUAGUGUAGAGGUGAAAUUCGUAGAUAUUAGAAAGAAUACCAAUUGCGAAGGCAGCUUUCUGGAUCAUUACUGACGCUGAGGAACGAAAGCAUGGGUAGCGAAGAGGAUUAGAUACCCUCGUAGUCCAUGCCGUAAACGAUGUGUGUUAGACGUUGGAAAUUUAUUUUCAGUGUCGCAGCGAAAGCGAUAAACACACCGCCUGGGGAGUACGACCGCAAGGUUAAAACUCAAAUGAAUUGACGGGGACCCGCACAAGUAGUGGAGCAUGUGGUUUAAUUCGAAGAUACGCGCAGAACCUUACCAACACUUGACAUGUUCGUCGCGACUUUAAGAGAUUAAAGUUUUCGGUUCGGCCGGGCGAAACACAGGUGCUGCAUGGCUGUCGUCAGCUCGUGUCGUGAGAUGUUGGGUUAAGUCCCGCAACGAGCGCAACCCUCACUUUUAGUUGCCAUCAUUAAGUUGGGCACUCUGAAAGAACUGCCAGUGAUAAGCUGGAGGAAGGUGGGGAUGACGUCAAGUCCUCAUGGCCCUUACGUGUUGGGCUACACACGUGCUACAAUGGUAUCUACAACAGGAAGCAAAACCGCGAGGUUAAGCAAAUCCUUAAAAGAUACCUCAGUUCGGAUUGCACUCUGCAACUCGAGUGCAUGAAGCUGGAAUUACUAGUAAUCGUGGAUCAGCGUGCCACGGUGAAUGCGUUCCCGGGUCUUGCACACACCGCCCGUCAAUCCAUAUG
This 904-nucleotide ribosomal RNA is filed under the name uncultured bacterium. RNAcentral describes it as "bacterial SSU rRNA". It matches the Rfam family "Bacterial small subunit ribosomal RNA", at positions 505 to 1408 of the family's 1533-position model. The record is from RNAcentral.